AAACCAACAGGGAUUGCUCUAGUAACGGCGAGUGAAGCAGCAAUAGCUCAAAUUUGAAAUCUGGCGUCUUCGACGUCCGAGUUGUAAUUUGUAGAGGAUGCUUCUGAGUAACCACCGACCUAAGUUCCUUGGAACAGGACGUCAUAGAGGGUGAGAAUCCCGUAUGCGGUCGGAAAGGUGCUCUAUACGUAGCUCCUUCGACGAGUCGAGUUGUUUGGGAAUGCAGCUCUAAAUGGGAGGUAAAUUUCUUCUAAAGCUAAAUAUUGGCCAGAGACCGAUAGCGCACAAGUAGAGUGAUCGAAAGAUGAAAAGCACUUUGGAAAGAGAGUUAAGAAGCACGUGAAAUUGUUAAAAGGGAAGGGAUUGCAACCAGACUUGCUCGCGGUGUUCCGCCGGUCUUCUGACCGGUCUACUCGCCGCGUUGCAGGCCAGCAUCGUCUGGUGCCGCUGGAUAAGACUUGAGGAAUGUAGCUCCCUCGGGAGUGUUAUAGCCUCUUGUGAUGCAGCGAGCGCCGGGCGAGGUCCGCGCUUCGGCUAGGAUGCUGGCGUAAUGGUUGUAA
RNAcentral lists this ribosomal RNA (560 nucleotides) under uncultured Cladosporium. Its description in RNAcentral is "LSU rRNA". It matches the Rfam family "Eukaryotic large subunit ribosomal RNA", at positions 62 to 643 of the family's 3401-position model. Lineage: Eukaryota; Fungi; Ascomycota; Dothideomycetes; Cladosporiales; Cladosporiaceae. The record is from RNAcentral.